RNAcentral lists this ribosomal RNA (429 nucleotides) under Chloroflexota bacterium. Its description in RNAcentral is "Chloroflexi bacterium partial 16S ribosomal RNA". It matches the Rfam family "Bacterial small subunit ribosomal RNA", at positions 355 to 776 of the family's 1533-position model. The record is from RNAcentral. Lineage: Bacteria; Bacillati; Chloroflexota.
UGGGGAAUAUUGCACAAUGGGCGCAAGCCUGAUGCAGCCAUGCCGCGUGUGUGAAGAAGGCCUUCGGGUUGUAAAGCACUUUCAGCGGGGAGGAAGGCGAUAAGGUUAAUAACCUUGGCGAUUGACGUUACCCGCAGAAGAAGCACCGGCUAACUCCGUGCCAGCAGCCGCGGUAAUACGGAGGGUGCAAGCGUGAAUCGGAAUUACUGGGCGUAAAGCGCACGCAGGCGGUCUGUCAAGUCGGAUGUGAAAUCCCCGGGCUCAACCUGGGAACUGCAUUCGAAACUGGCAGGCUAGAGUCUUGUAGAGGGGGGUAGAAUUCCAGGUGUAGCGAUGAAAUGCGUAGAGAUCUGGAGGAAUACCGGUGGCGAAGGCGGCCCCCUGGACAAAGACUGACGCUCAGGUGCGAAAGCGUGGGGAGCAAACAGG